UGUUCAGAGCCUCAAAAUGUAGUGUGCUUCUUUCAGUGCCCCACAUUCGGGUGCCAAAAUGAAAUGUCCAGGCUACUUUCUGGAGGUCCUCUGGAUGGGUCUUGAAAUCAGCAGGAUAGUCACCAUGACGAUGGUUAGGAACAGAAUCUAAAGUCCUUAUUGUCUUCUUCACAGUCUAUUCACUCUGACUCACUCUGUCCUCAGUUCUGUCAGCCCUUAAAUACCCUAUCACAAUUACAUCAUUACAGCAUAUUGAGUAUGUGUGAACUAGAGUGAUCAUAUUAUAUUAGAUAUAUGUGAACUAGAAAACCACUAUCUCAUCAAUUCCACUGCGUUGACACCUUGUUGGUAUGGCGGAUUAUUUACAAAUUUCCGAUGUGAUCUGCUUGGGGGUGUUUGUAUAGAAGGAUUUUGUAGAUAUCCUGUUUUGAAACUUGGUACCUGUAAGACAAAAGAAAAGAAGAUGUGUUGUAUAAAAGAAUAUACAAGUGACUGAUACAGAGUGGGGAAACAAUGUCUGAGAAGGGGGAGAUUGAAGGGAC
RNAcentral lists this long non-coding RNA (542 nucleotides) under Sarcophilus harrisii (Tasmanian devil). Its description in RNAcentral is "lncRNA (ENSSHAG00000028848.1)". The record is from RNAcentral. Lineage: Eukaryota; Metazoa; Chordata; Mammalia; Dasyuromorphia; Dasyuridae.